Molecule: ribosomal RNA, 467 nt
Filed under: uncultured bacterium
Lineage: Bacteria
Description: partial 16S ribosomal RNA
Rfam family: Bacterial small subunit ribosomal RNA
Source: RNAcentral
GACGAACGCUGGCGGCGUGCUUAACACAUGCAAGUCGAACGGAAAGGCUCCAGCUUGCUGGAGUACUCGAGUGGCGAACGGGUGAGUAACACGUGGGUAAUCUGCCCUGCACUCUGGGAUAAGCCUGGGAAACUGGGUCUAAUACUGGAUAUGACCUUUCUCCUUAUGGGGUUUGGUGGAAAGUUUUUCGGUGUAGGAUGAGCCCGCGGCCUAUCAGCUUGUUGGUGGGGUGAUGGCCUACCAAGGCGACGACGGGUAGCCGGCCUGAGAGGGUGAUCGGCCACAUUGGGACUGAGAUACGGCCCAGACUCCUACGGGGGGCAGCAGUGGGGAAUAUUGCACAAUGGGCGGAAGCCUGAUGCAGCGACGCCGCGUGAGGGAUGACGGCCUUCGGGUUGUAAACCUCUUUCAGCAGGGACGAAGCGUAAGUGACGGUACCUGCAGAAGAAGCACCGGCUAACUAUGUG